This 2878-nucleotide long non-coding RNA is filed under the name Homo sapiens (human). Its description in RNAcentral is "HSALNT0307601". Lineage: Eukaryota; Metazoa; Chordata; Mammalia; Primates; Hominidae. The record is from RNAcentral.
UCUUACUGUCUUAAAAACUCAGAUUCUUUCAUUGAAAUGGCAUUAAGUAAACUUAAGACAAUGCUACAUGGAUUAGAGACUACCUAUAGUGCACCCAACUUGCAGGAUGUCAUUUAGUAUGCGUGUAUUCUUAACCCAACUUGCAGCCUAAUGGCUUUUUAAAGUCAAAACUUCCAUAGUCCUUUUGCAGUAUGAUUUUUGAGGCAUAUGGAGACAGAAUCUGAGCCAAUAUAUUUUAUUCCAAAUGAGGCUCUUUGAUUUCUCACAUGCUUUUGAAAUGUGAUGUUUGUCUACCCUGGAAAACUCUGCCGUUUCAACUCUCUGGAAAGCUAGGAAAGGUUUUGAAUAAUUGUAUCAUGGGUAGUUUUUGGAUUCCACUACUUGUGGGCUACUUCUGCUGGAUAAAUGUGUUGCCUACAUACAGUAUUCUCUUAACCCUGCUUCUCAAAAUCCUAUAUUUUCUGUUGUCAAGUCAAGAAUUACAAAGCCACACUUUGGCAUGGAGAAUACUACUCUACAGUUACUCAUCCUUAAUGACCUGUAGUACAGAAAAGUGAAAACAUUGUGGAGGAGAUAAAUUACCAAAAUAGAAGAUAAGCUGAAAAGGCAAUGGAAAAUAUAUCAUACAUAUCAAAGUUGCUCAUUUAUGCUAUUUUGCCAUAACAAUGCAUACAACUGAAGCACUUCCCUUCUCCAUUGGAGUUUUGUCUCUAGAGGUAUUAAAUAUUAAUCUUAUAAAGAAAAGAAAGCAAAAAAAAAAAACCCUGAACACAUGUUAAUAGGUUAGGGUUUUAAGAGCAAAUCACAAAAGCAGAAUAAGUACUUGGAGGAAAAAAACAGGAAGAGAGAGAAAGAGGGAGAGAGAGAGAGAGGUGGGGUAAAUUGUGGACCCUCCUUUUAAAGAAACAAAAUUUUCCACAGAGUUGCAUUAAUACUUAAAUUGGACUAACUCCAUGUGAAUCCUCGUAAGAAAUACUAUUUCCUUUCAAUUAACUCAUCUAUCCUACAAUUACAUGUCAUGAAAUCUAAAGGCAAAUAUGUUUACCCAGUAAGGGAAUAACAUUCGAGGCAAAAGUGAUGUCACAAACAGAUGGGAAUUCCAAGUAAUACUGAGUCAUGGUUCUAGGGGAAUAAAACAAUUACUUUACAGCUCAGUGCAAUGUAGUAUUUAAAGAAAAGGUAUUUCAAUAGAAUAGCCCAGACAAUUAUUCAACAUUUAACAGAGAUUAUAUUAGUCUAGAUAUGUUAAUUUGGAUUUUAUUCUGUUUUUUAUUUAUGUUAAUAGGUUUGGUUACUGGUUUAAAGAAAUAUUAGAAGUUUAUCUUUUAUUUUUACAAAUAGAUUAACAUUUGUCUUAGAGGGAGUUCUGCCCUUCAUGGAUAAUACCUUUACCUGCUAAAUCUAGAUUUCUUUUUCUAUAGUAAGUUUUAAACCAGUAAUUGAUGUAAAAAGAUGCAACAAAUAAAAUUAUAGCUACUAAUGGGCAUGUAUUUAUUAUACAGUAGGCAAUUUGCAGAAAGUUUUAUGUAUAUUAUUUUUAUUAAUCUUUAUGACAUUGGAAUUCCAUCAGGUAGGCAUUUUGAUUCCCAAGUAAACUAAAGAGAAGAAAACUGAGGCUUAAAGAGGCAAUCUUUAAUAUUGGUAUCCUUAUUUACAAAGAAAAUGAGUGCAGAAAGGACAAGUAGUUUUCGUGAAACCACUUGGAAGUGGAGGAGAAGGGUUUUGAACUCCCAUCAUCUCAAGCUCAUGCUUUGCCAUCUCACCACAGUGAAAUGAUGGAAAACUCAAGUCUGCAAACCUUAAAUUUUCAAUCAAAGGGAGGAAACCUUGGGCAAAUGAAGAGGUCAUGGAUAUGAUAUGAAAAUAUUUUAUGAUUUUGCAUGUGAGAAGCUACUGCAUAGAUGAAUUCAACUGCAGGAUCCCUUUUAAAAAAUAUGUAUCUUCAAGAUUGAGUGUGAGCCUUCACAAACUCCUCCUUGUAUCUUAAGUCUGCUGGAGUACUGGCCUGACUCCACUCACUCACUGUGUACUUCGUUUGAAACUAACAAACAAUACAGUGACUGUCAGUAGAUGUUGCCUCCUCAGUCUACAGAGCCAACAAAAAUUAUGGAAAAUGUCAUCAGAUUUCCAUGACAACAUCACGCUGUAUAAUCAACAUGGUUCGAACUAGUCACAUCUUUGCACAACUGGACACAUCAAAAUAAUUGUAUUAUGUCAUCAGUGAUGCCACCAGACAGAGCACCAGCUCCCUUCCUACACUGGAUAGCAGACGUUCAAAUAACGCAAUGUACUGAAGAACUAAUACAGUUUAGACACCAGAGGUCUCACAAGUUAAACCCUCUAUAUAAUACAGAGCCCUCCUGAGAAUCAACUUAAGGUGAAAUGUUUUAAAGAAGAGAUAAUGGUGGUGGUGUGGUGGUACAUGUUGAGCAACCAGCUCUCUGGAGCAACUGAAAAAUACUUCUAAUCUGGCAAAUUCAGCGAGAAGACUGAGUUCCUUAAUUUCUGUCAGCACCAGUGAAAAACUGUCCUAAACUGACCCUGGCUUACAGAUGUACCACUGGAUCUUGGACUAAAUGGUAAUGGUAAUCAUUCUGAGCUUCCAUUAAAAUUCUAAGCCUUCUUCCAUUUUAUUUCUUAUUAACAGCUAUUAUUGUUGUUGUUGUUGUUGUUGUUGUUGUUGUUGUUGUUAUUAUAGCAAAGAAGAACAGCAGAAUGGUUGGUGGAGAUUCCUAUGCUUUCGACCCAUGGCGGGGUCACUAAGUCAGGUGAAUCACCUCCCACCCCUAAAGAUUCCCACCCAGUUAUGCCUUCUAAUGUGCUGUUCACAGUUUAUCAACUGAUUCUGAAAUUCUGAGACUUAACAGUUUUAAACUGA